This 520-nucleotide ribosomal RNA is filed under the name bacterium btn 11c-3. Its description in RNAcentral is "bacterial SSU rRNA". It matches the Rfam family "Bacterial small subunit ribosomal RNA", at positions 335 to 846 of the family's 1533-position model. The record is from RNAcentral.
ACUCCUACGGGAGGCAGCAGUAGGGAAUCUUCCGCAAUGGGCGAAAGCCUGACGGAGCAACGCCGCGUGAGUGAUGAAGGUCUUCGGAUCGUAAAACUCUGUUGUUAGGGAAGAACAAAUUUGUUAGUAACUGAACAAGUCUUGACGGUACCUAACCAGAAAGCCACGGCUAACUACGUGCCAGCAGCCGCGGUAAUACGUAGGUGGCAAGCGUUAUCCGGAAUUAUUGGGCGUAAAGCGCGCGUAGGCGGUUUCUUAAGUCUGAUGUGAAAGCCCACGGCUCAACCGUGGAGGGUCAUUGGAAACUGGGAAACUUGAGUGCAGAAGAGGAGAGUGGAAUUCCAUGUGUAGCGGUGAAAUGCGCAGAGAUAUGGAGGAACACCAGUGGCGAAGGCGGCUCUCUGGUCUGUAACUGACGCUGAUGUGCGAAAGCGUGGGGAUCAAACAGGAUUAGAUACCCUGGUAGUCCACGCCGUAAACGAUGAGUGCUAAGUGUUAGGGGGUUUCCGCCCCUUAGUGC